Molecule: ribosomal RNA, 433 nt
Filed under: uncultured bacterium
Lineage: Bacteria
Description: partial 16S ribosomal RNA
Rfam family: Bacterial small subunit ribosomal RNA
Source: RNAcentral
AGCGAACGCUGGCGGCAGGCCUAACACAUGCAAGUCGAACGAACUCUUCGGAGUUAGUGGCGGACGGGUGAGUAACACGUGGGAACGUGCCUUUUGGUUCGGAAUAACUCAGGGAAACUUGUGCUAAUACCGAAUGUGCCCUUCGGGGGAAAGAUUUAUCGCCAUUAGAGCGGCCCGCGUCUGAUUAGCUAGUUGGUGAGGUAACGGCUCACCAAGGCGACGAUCAGUAGCUGGUCUGAGAGGAUGACCAGCCACACUGGGACUGAGACACGGCCCAGACUCCUACGGGAGGCAGCAGUGGGGAAUCUUGCGCAAUGGGCGAAAGCCUGUCGCAGCCAUGCCGCGUGAAUGAUGAAGGUCUUAGGAUUGUAAAAUUCUUUCACCGGGGACGAUAAUGACGGUACCCGGAGAAGAAGCCCCGGCUAACUUCGUG